This 92-nucleotide transfer RNA is filed under the name Streptomyces tanashiensis. RNAcentral describes it as "tRNA-Ala". The record is from RNAcentral. Lineage: Bacteria; Bacillati; Actinomycetota; Actinomycetes; Kitasatosporales; Streptomycetaceae.
GCCCUGCUGGUAGACGGAGUAGGCACUGCUGGGCUUGGCGUGCGCGGUGAGUGCCGCCUUGAUGCGCUGGCCGGUCCAGUCCGGGUGGCGCU